Molecule: ribosomal RNA, 468 nt
Filed under: uncultured bacterium
Lineage: Bacteria
Description: partial 16S ribosomal RNA
Rfam family: Bacterial small subunit ribosomal RNA
Source: RNAcentral
GACGAACGCUGGCGGCGUGCUUAACACAUGCAAGUCGAACGGAAAGGCCCUGCUUUUGUGGGGUGCUCGAGUGGCGAACGGGUGAGUAACACGUGAGUAACCUGCCCUUGACUUUGGGAUAACUUCAGGAAACUGGGGCUAAUACCGGAUAGGAGCUCCUGCUGCAUGGUGGGGGUUGGAAAGUUUCGGCGGUUGGGGAUGGACUCGCGGCUUAUCAGCUUGUUGGUGGGGUAGUGGCUUACCAAGGCUUUGACGGGUAGCCGGCCUGAGAGGGUGACCGGCCACAUUGGGACUGAGAGACGGCCCAGACUCCUACGGGAGGCAGCAGUGGGGAAUAUUGCACAAUGGGCGGAAGCCUGAUGCAGCAACGCCGCGUGCGGGAUGACGGCCGUCGGGUUGUAAACCGCUUUCGCCUGUGACGAAGCGUGAGUGACGGUAAUGGGUAAAGAAGCACCGGCUAACUACGUG